Long non-coding RNA from Lagopus muta (rock ptarmigan), 1487 nucleotides. RefSeq lists it as uncharacterized. The transcript has 6 exons. Lineage: Eukaryota; Metazoa; Chordata; Aves; Galliformes; Phasianidae. The record is from RefSeq and is a predicted model, not a curated record.
UGGGAAUUACCAAGUCACAGACUGAAUCAAUGGCUGAAUGUCAGGUGGGUCCACCCCUCUUCACCUUCAUUUAAGUGUUAGCAGCCAAGGGAGCAGCGUCUCUCUAGAGAUUGUUAUUUUUGAGCUGUUGCCAGUCUUGGAAAGAGGCUCUUUUCUCUUUUACGAUGAAAAUUAUGUGGGAGUUUCCCCUGUACAUAUUGGAAAAAAAGCCUGAAACUUCCAUUAUUGAUACCCUUACUGAUUGCAGAAUGCUUUUCAUGAGCAUGAAGAUAUUUGCAUUGAGGCUUUUGAGUGCUUGACUUCACAUCUGAAGAGUGUAACUGACAAUGAAGUGGCAACUUUCUAGAGAUGUUGCCUAGAUAUGUCAUGACCAAGAAGAGCUGCUGUUUCUUAAGAAUCUAGUGGUCUAAAUGAAAUAAAUAUUCUGCAGUCCUGUGUUAUUUCAGGAGUCAGAAUUUGGUGAAAAAUAUUGUUCCGAUUCUUUUUAGGGGGAAAUAAGAUGUUGCUAGUAUUUUCUCAAAAUGGUGAGAGGAGAUAAUGUAGGCCACUGGUACUGAAGAAGAGAAAGAGACUGAGAAAGAUAUAUCAUCGGAUUCAGAACAAAAUUUUGUACUCUAUGCAAAAUAAAUCAGUGGAAAAAAAAAAUAGUAUUGUUGUCAUAAGGGCUGUCAAUUAAAAUCCUGAUUAAAAAAAUUACGGUCCACAACAGCAUGAGAAUGUAGAGUUAGGGCAAGACAUUCUCCCUGAAAGUAUUAUUAUUUUUUUUUUUUAAUUAAAAAAAAGGUGAUUGCUUUGUUUAGGACUAAGUCAUAUAACUGAGUGGAAAAACUCAGACAUUAAACACGUCUAAUGCUGCCCAUUUAAAUAAGGCAGUUUGUGCUAGUUACAUAGAAUCAUGGAAUCACAAAGGUUGGAAAAGACCUUAAGGAUCAUCAAGACCAACCACGACCUAACCAUACUACCCUAAUAACCCUCUGCUAACUCAUGUCCCAAUUGCUCAUGUCUCAUGAGCAAUUCUAAGAGGAUACUGAAAAAAAAAUGUAUUUUGAACACUUAUUUGAUAUCUUCAGUAAAUCUUGUUAUCUAUUAUAUACAGAGUGUCUAUGUUUAAAGAAAACAAAACAAAACCCCAAAAACAGAAAAACAACCGUACAAGAUUUCCAAACAACAGAUUACUGUGUUCCAGAUAACAUUCAAACUAAAUAUCACGGCAAGAUAUUAAUAGGAGACAAAAUAGCAAAAUACUUUCAUUUGCAGAUUUUUUUAAAAAAUUGUUUAGGGAUUGUUGUUUAUUUGUUUUUGGGUUUGUUUUCUUUUUGUUGUUUGUUAAGCUAACAAUCAAUAAUUCUAAAAGAAUACAUAAUCUGGAACAAUAUGAUCUAGGUAUUUUAAGAAGAAUCAAGACUUUGGUAUUGUGAUACAUAAAUGAUGAAAAUGGCAUUUCUGUUCCCAGUGAUGCUGAAGAAAAAAGAAUAGAGUAUUAGGAU